CUUCACAUGCUGCACGUAUACUAAAAUUGGAACAAUAUAGAGAAGAUUAGCAUGGCCCCUGCGCAAGAAUGACCNUACUAUAAGAACAAUUAUUCUGUUCUAU
RNAcentral lists this small nuclear RNA (103 nucleotides) under Salvator merianae (Argentine black and white tegu). The record is from RNAcentral. Lineage: Eukaryota; Metazoa; Chordata; Lepidosauria; Squamata; Teiidae.